AAUCAACGCUGGCGGCGUGCCUCAGACAUGCAAGUCGAACGAUUAAAGCUCGUCUUCGGAGAGUGUAUAGAGUGGCGCACGGGUGAGUAACACGUAAGUAAUCUACCGUUUGAGUGGGGAAUAACGUCCGGAAACGGACGCUAAUACCGCAUAAUGCAGCGGCAUCGCAAGAUGACAGUUGUUAAAGAUUUAUCGCUUGAAGAGGAGCUUGCGGCAGAUAGCUAGUUGGUAAGGUAAUGGCUUACCAAGGCUACGAUCUGUAACCGGUCUAAGAGGACGGUCGGUCACACUGACACUGAAUAACGGGUCAGACUCCUACGGGAGGCAGCAGUCGGGAAUUUUGGGCAAUGGGCGAAAGCCUGACCCAGCAACGCCGCGUGAAGGAU
Molecule: ribosomal RNA, 386 nt
Filed under: uncultured bacterium
Lineage: Bacteria
Description: bacterial SSU rRNA
Rfam family: Bacterial small subunit ribosomal RNA
Source: RNAcentral